UACGUAGGGUGCAAGCGUUGUCCGGAAUUAUUGGGCGUAAAGAGCUCGUAGGCGAUCUGUCGCGUCGGAUGUGAAAACCCAGGGCUCAACCCUGGGCCUGCAUUCGAUACGGGCAGACUAGAGUUCGGUAGGGGAGACUGGAAUUCCUGGUGUAGCGGUGAAAUGCGCAGAUAUCAGGAGGAACACCGGUGGCGAAGGCGGGUCUCUGGGCCGAAACUGACGCUGAGGAGCGAAAGCGUGGGGAGCAAACAGG
This 253-nucleotide ribosomal RNA is filed under the name uncultured bacterium. RNAcentral describes it as "partial 16S ribosomal RNA". It matches the Rfam family "Bacterial small subunit ribosomal RNA", at positions 524 to 776 of the family's 1533-position model. The record is from RNAcentral.